CGCUGGCGGCAUGCCUAACACAUGCAAGUCGAACGAAGUCUUCGGACUUAGUGGCGCACGGGUGAGUAUCAUGUGGGAAUCUACCUAAAGGUUCGGAAUAACUACGGGAAACUGUAGCUAAUACCGGAUGUGUCCGAAAGGAGAAAGAUUUAUCGCCUUUAGAUGAGCCCGCACUAGAUUAGUUUGUUGGUGGGGUAAAGGCCUACCAAGACUACGAUCUAUAGCUGGUUUGAGAGGAUGAUCAGCCACACUGGGACUGAGACACGGCCCAGACUCCUACGGGAGGCAGCAGUGGGGAAUAUUGGACAAUGGGGGAAACCCUGAUCCAGCAAUGUCGCGUGAGUGAAGAAGGCCUUCGGGUUGUAAAACUCUUUCAACAGUGAAGAUAAUGACUGUAACUGUAGAAGAAGCUCCGGCUAACUCCGUGCCAGCAGCCGCGGUAAUACGGAGGGAGCUAGCGUUGUUCGGAAUUACUGGGCGUAAAGAGCGCGUAGGCGGACUAAAAAGUUAGACGUGAAAUCCCUAAGCUCAACUUAGGAACUGCGUUUAAAACUAUUAGUCUUGAAUGCGGGAGAGGGAAGAAGAAUUUUCAGUGUAGAGGUGAAAUUCGUAGAUAUUGGAAAGAAUACCAGUGGCGAAGGCGACUUCCUGGACCGACAUUGACGCUAAGGCGCGAAAGCGUGGGUAGCAAACAGGAUUAGAUACCCUGGUAGUCCACGCAGUAAACGAUGAGAGCUAGUCGUUGGGACUUUUUGUUCCAGUGUCGUAGCUAACGCAUUAAGCUCUCCGCCUGGGGAGUACGGUC
RNAcentral lists this ribosomal RNA (805 nucleotides) under uncultured Alphaproteobacteria bacterium. Its description in RNAcentral is "bacterial SSU rRNA". It matches the Rfam family "Bacterial small subunit ribosomal RNA", at positions 34 to 887 of the family's 1533-position model. The record is from RNAcentral. Lineage: Bacteria; Pseudomonadati; Pseudomonadota; Alphaproteobacteria.